Molecule: ribosomal RNA, 461 nt
Filed under: uncultured bacterium
Lineage: Bacteria
Description: bacterial SSU rRNA
Rfam family: Bacterial small subunit ribosomal RNA
Source: RNAcentral
CGUGCCUAACACAUGCAAGUCGAGCGAUGAAGUUCUUCGGAACGGAUUAGCGGCGGACGGGUGAGUAACACGUGGGUAACCUGCCUUGUAGAGGGGGAUAGCCUUCCGAAAGGAAGAUUAAUACCGCAUAACAUCUUUUUUAUCGCAUGGUAGAAAGAUCAAAGGAGUAAUCCGCUACAAGAUGGACCCGCGGCGCAUUAGCUAGUUGGUGAGGUAACGGCUCACCAAGGCGACGAUGCGUAGCCGACCUGAGAGGGUGAUCGGCCACAUUUGGAACUGAGACACGGUCCAGACUCCUACGGGAGGCAGCAGUGGGGAAUAUUGCGCAAUGGGGGAAAAACCCCUGACGCAGCAACGCCGCGUGAAUGAAGAAGGCCUUAGGGUUGUAAAGUUCUGUUUACGGGGACGAUAAUGACGGUACCCGUGGAGGAAGCCACGGCUAACUACGUGCCAGCCGCUGC